CACUGCCAGGAAACAGAAACAGCCUAGGGAAACUGGAAAAGACCUGAUAAUCCCUGCAUGUAAUGUCUGCCUGAGCAGGUGAGGAGCCAGGCAGAGCCACAUACUGCAAAUUCUGUGGAGCUCCAGGAAUACCACGUCCUUAAUUCAACCUUUGUGCAUGAGGAGCGGAGACCCUACCUCCCUACACUGGGUCAGAAGCCUCAUUUUGUGGUUACAGGGCAUGUGGAGAAGAUCAGCUGUGAUUACAGAAGGAUUAGUACACAGAAACUGACCCCAUACAAUGCAACAAUCAGAUCCUACCACUUCAUUCAGGAUUACUCUGAUUCUCAUAAAUGCAGCGAUGUCUUCUUCCUGAAAGAAAAGUGUGUCAAACUGUCUUGGUGAUGGAAAAAUCUAAACCAAAACUGUUAAAUUCAAUCCCAUCAAAGAAAAGGCAAACAUCUAAGAGCCACAAAGCUGGGAUUUUGACUCACGGUGUGAAGCAAGAUGUAUUUUGACACAGAGGACAACCUGAUUGAAAGAAUUUACUUUCUGUGAAUCAAACAAUGAUUUUGUCCUGGAUGGGAAGCCUGUGAUGUAUUACAACACAUUUUAAACACCUUUUUAUUAUACAAUGAAACAUUUUCAUGGUUGCUGUACUGAUUUUUACAAAAUGUGUAGGGACGUAUUUUUCUGGAGGAGCUGCAUAAAAAUACCAUAGAAUUUGCACAGCUGUCCAGGAAUGUGGCUUGUUACAUACAAAGUCACUGGAAGGGAGAUAUGACUACUGCUUCAUCAGCUGACCUGGAAGAACAUGCCAAGAACAUCACAAUUAACCUAUGGAGAAAUGAAAUUCAAUAACACAAUGGUACAGGGGGAAGUUGGAUAUUCUCCUUUUGGUAACUGGUUAUCUUAAUAUGAUCUCAAGUUACUGCACAGUGAGUAGAUGUUAAUGUGAACCAGUGACUUUGGAUCUUCUUCAGAAGAAAGGACAGAAAGGACAAGGAACGUCCGCCAGAAACCCUGGAUGAAGUUGCCUCUUGUUUCCCACUGCUGAUUGUAAAAGAGAGGCUGAGUUUCCCUGGACCUGUAACUAUAACUUUCCAUCUGGAAAAAAGCCCUUUGAUGGGAACAGGAGUAUUUACACUGCUCUGAACGGAGCUUGAACUAAGACUUGCUGACUGUAGGAGUCACUACAUGCUGUGCUCGUGAAUUCGCCAACACUCGCGUUACAUCUUGUUUGAUCUCUACUCAAAUUUCCUUAUACACUAUCUGAAGAAGUUAGCCUCAAAUUUGGUCCAAAGUUAGCAGCUGCAGUGGCUGGCUCCCAGUGUUGCGAUCCAGUGGGUUGCAGUUGUCUGUACAUGACUGCAGCCAGACUGCAGUAACCCAUAAAGGCAAUAGCCACAGCAGGAAAUGCUUUCUCUGCUUCAUACUGCCAAAGGAGUUGGAUGUGGUAACAAGCUGAGAUGGGAAUGAUUUUUACAGCUAUUUCUUCUGUCCUCUUGCCUCACCCCUCCAGCUGUAUCCUGUGAAAAAGAUGUCCCUUCUUUCCCAAGAGCAUCCAUAGGCAUUGAGACAAGCAGUCACUGAGAAAUAUGGCAGCAGGAUGAUGUUGCCAAGCCAUGGACAGAGAGGGUCUGCCUCCCUCCUCCUCCUUCAUGUAUUCUCAAGGCCAAGAGUUCAAUUUGAGGUGAUCUUGUGAAGGAGGAGACAAUUUCUGAGGAAGAAGCAACUUGGGCAGAUGGAAGAAUUUUAGAACAAUAAUUUUCAUAAAUGGUGCCACAUUAGUUUAGACAUUUUCAGAGAGCAUUUUUAAUGUAUGAAGUAUUGUUUCUCAUAUUCCUUCAAUCAUGCUCAAAAUUAUAAACUUAAAAGACUUCCAUGAUUUAGAAACCUAUGGAAAGAGGUGGUACUUGAUCAAGGUUUGUUUUAAAGAUAAUGAUGACUUUUAAAUCUUUGUGCAGACAUGAUGUUGUGGGGAAGAAAGAAAUUAGAAAGUUGCAGUUUUGCAUAGUGUAUAUCUCUGAACAUCGAGAGAUGUCAGAAUAUUUCAAAAUGAAAUAGAAUGGGAUUCACAUAACACUGAACAGUCCCUGUCUGAAACACUAUUAGGAGGUUACCCAACCCCUCAUAACUCUGUUGAUUCCACCUUGAUGACAUCCUUGAUUACUGUCAUGCUGCAAAUCCUGCCUGUAUCCUACAUGCUUUUGAUUGUAGCAAUAUUAUGAGCACCAUAUGAAUUUACACUAAGCAGGAAGUAAGAGAUUAUCGCUGCCAGAAACUGAUCUCAGGCACUGAAGGAAAACAAACCAUUAUUUUCCCCUUGAAGCAGUACUUCUUCCUUUUGCCUUCAUGUGCCUUGUAUACUGUUUUUAUUCAUUGUGUAAAUACAAGUGUAAGAAGUGCUACAUAAAGUAUAUUGCACUUGCUAAACCUUAAACCAUGCUAAAAUAUCCUAGUGGGCUGAAAGAUACUUCUCCAACAACUCUCAUUAUUCAUGGAUCAUUGAUAUGAUAGACCCUAAUAGCUUCCUCAAAGCCAUUACAAUGUGCUAUAUAUAAAUGCAAGCCCUUAAUCCAUGGAUCAUUGGCAUGAUAAAAUGCAACAUGCAUUUAAAACCCUUGCAGUCUGUCAAGUGAAUGCAUGCUAUUAGAGAUCUUUAAUUUGUGGAUUAUUGCCACAACUGAUCAUUACACUUCCUCUGGGGCUGCUAUGGUCUAUCCCAUUAACAUAUGAACAUGAACCCUAAUCCGUAGAUUAUUGAUAAAAGUAGUUUCAUCUGUUUUGUCAAAAAGGACUCUGCAGGGUUGAAGGAUCACUCACUUAUAGGCUCUCCUAGACUCUUUAUUCUUUAGUUCAAUGAUUUACAUUUUAAUUUCUUUCUUUUUGCUGUUUGCUUAUGCAAACAAACAAAUUCAUGUGUUCAAAAUGUUUUUUUUGUACAUCUAAGAAAAUUGGGACUUUAGCUUUCACUUCUAAUAUUUGUGAGAUCCAGCAAAAAAUGACACAGGCAAAAAUAUGUGCUCUGCCUUGAAAGUGUGAUCCUGAGACUUCUGUAUUCUAUGAACACCGAUACUACUAUAUUUUGUGUGGCAGAGAUAAUAAAAGCAUUCCUGAAAAAACAUAUCACACUUCUAUGCAUACCUGUAAUGAACACUUUUAAACACACUGCCUCAUACAAUUCCUCUAUUAAAAUUCCUAAAGUUAUCAACCCAGACCCUAUGGAUUUGUAGUCUUGAGAUUAACCUUUUAAUGUUUAACUAUUAGAAAAGUUCUUAUUGUUGUCCAGUGCCAUUCAGCUAUUUCUGGCCUGCAGGCAAUAAAAUGGCUAAAUCUCACCUCAUAAAGCCCCAUAGCUUACAUUCUUGACUGUUCCUGGCAGUAUUGCAAUGAUAGGCAGCUGAGGUGGGAAACUGAUGGACUAGAGAAUGGCUCAGAGUACCACACCUCCCAGGCUGCUAGGUAGCAAAAGGAUCAAAUCCAAGUCUCUUAUGUUGCUUGAAUUCCCAGCUGGGACACAGCUGCACUGACCUGGCUGCUUACCUUCCCUGAAAACUUGCCUUUCAGUUUCAGCAAAACAUUUCUCAACAAGAGACAAAAACAGUCUGCUUAGCUGGAAAAUUUCUAAUUACCUAUUCUGCCUCUCACUCAGUUCCCUGUUACCAUGGUUUGGAUAGACCCCUGGAUGGGUCCAAGUCAUGUCAAUGAGGCAUAUGUCUAGUACGGCUGCAGUGACUGGAGAAUCUCAGGUCUCAUUAAAAGAUUUUCUUUUUUAGCCUUGGUGGUUGCUAAGAAAAACUUGGAAUGUGAACUAAAUACAGCAGCUUUACUUACAGCUGCUUGGAGACACAAAAGAGGAGCAGCAGAUGGUGAAGCAGCAGUGGUUGCUAGCGCAAAAAGCCAGCAAGAAAGCCACUUGCUCCCACAUCUGCAGAAACAGGCAUAGUUCUCAUUUUCUGGGGGCUGAUGUGAAAGGCUGGCUCAGAGGAAAAAUCUGCCCAAGGAAUGGACAUGGGAAGUGAGCAGAGAUGGUUGUGGCAAUAACAACAGUGAAUAGGAUCAGGAAGAAAGUUUACUCACCCUUCUCUGCCUCAUCACCUGUCUCAGAGACUCAGAUGUUUUCUGCUAUCAGCGAGGGUAUUCUGUUUCCUAUCUUAAAAGUUCUUAUCUAGUCUAAAACUGCUGAUCUUGUUUUUUUAAGAGAUAACUUCCAUUGUAGUUAAGAUUUCUGAUUUUGUAAAGCCUGCAUCCUUUCACAAUGAAGGAUUGCCACAUAAACUCUGUAGCAGCAUAGUGUAAGAUAUGUGAAUUCCUUUAGCCCUUUUUUCUAGUCUUCUAUGAGCAAAAGAUAGCAAAAUCAAUUUAAAGUACAUAGAUACGAUAAAUAAAAUGUGUGUGUGGAGGGGGGGAGAGAAACAUCUCAGCUGAAGCACAUGUGGAUUUUCAGCUAAGAGCAUGUAUUUUUAGAUAUCAUUACAGCUUCUCAGUGUAGGUAGUUUAGGCUCCAGACCUGACUUAUGGUAAAAUGAUCACAAUCUGAUGGCGAUAACCUCAGCAAGUUAUUUUAUUUACCUUCUCUCCAUGCUAUUAGAAGAGCAAAUGUUAAAAUUCCAUUGAUUUUAGGGAAUGUAAACAAAUUAUUAUAACUAAUGUACUACUAUUUGCCUUUACAGCAGUGCUCAGUGUAACUCCACAAAAUUACUUUCCAGGGUGCAGUUCUUCAUUAGAAUUAGUCUGAAGGCAAAUCUGUAGUGAGAGGCUCCCACUGCAGACUUUUGCCUCACCACAGGUUGCUGCCCUCUCGGAUGUAUUUGUUCAAGAGUUUGUGUAUCUGUGCUCUAAAGCAGAGCAGUGAAAUGACCUUCAGUGCACACAGCACUUGUUUUCCAAACCCUACUGUUUUCACUGGUCACAUUUAUAAAACAGACCAUGUGGUGCUGGAUAGGAAUGUACUGUGUAGUGGAAGGGGAACCUGCCUGUGCAAGGAUGGGACAGAGGCCUCUGAAAUGGUUUUCAUAGAGCCAUAGAAUUGUAGACUAAGUUUUUUGUUGAAGAGACCUUAAAGAUCCUUUAGUUCUAGACCCUCUGCCAUGAGCAGGGGCAUCUUCCAAUGAUCUCAACCAACCUGGCCUUGAAAGCUUCCAUGGAUGGGAUUUUCACAACUUUGCUGGGCAACUUUUUCAAGUAUCUCACUACACUCAUAGAGAAGUAUUUCUUCCUUAUAGCUAAUCCAAAUCCACCCUCUUUCAGCUUGAAGCUAUUUCUCCUUGUCUUAUUACUACAGUUUGCUCAGGCUGUGCUCCAGCUCACAGACCAUGGUGCUGACAAAGAUGUUAAACAGUGCCAGCACCAGUACUGACCCCUGAUGAAUGCCACUCAUCACUGUCCUCCACUGGUUUUGUAGAGACACAGGUCAUAAUAUUGGAUAUUAUAUGGUGAUUGUACUCAUAUUAGUGGGACUAGAAUGAAGCAUUUGAGGUGUUUUGUUCUGUAUAUUCUUGCACACAUAUUUUGAGUUGUGUGUAUGUCUGAGCAACUGGGAUAAUUAAAAAUGCUCUACUAUUUUUUUUCAGAGAUAAAAAAAAUAUGGAAAUAAUGUAAAAAUACUGUAUUUGUUUUCCUUUUUCCAGUGACCUUUAGGAGCAUUCUGUGAAUGAAAAAUUCAAUAAAAAUAAAUGUUUUAAAAUGGCCUGGAUUUUCCCUUUAAAUUAUAGCAGUGCUACUGGCUGUUGCAACAUUAAAUGCUCACAUGAAGUUGCUUAAUGAUAUCUUGUUAGUGAUGGAAGAUAAUGAGAUGAUAAGGACAAAAUUCAUUGACCUUUCAAAGCUUUUGAUUCACUAAAUGACACUGUUAGAUAAGCUAAUUAAAUUUUGCUUUUUCUACUAGAAUGAUGGCUUGGUUCAGAUCUUAUUUGAUUAAGAGGAAAAAUCAGUGGCUGUUUCAGGCUAUCAUUCUGAUUUAUAACUAUUACUAUUGAAAGGUACCCUAGGGCUCAAGAGCUGAUUUACUUCUUCUUCUUUUUAUUUAGUCCUAAAUUAUCUCUAAGAUAUUUGUGAUAAUACCUAAAUUCACUUACAUGGUAUUUGACAAUACUAUUUUGUACAAUUGUCCUGUAAUAUCUCUGCCUUAAUAUGCUUGCUUCCAAAAUCACUGUAAUAAAAGCAUCUUGAAAGACAA
Molecule: non-coding RNA, 6160 nt
Organism: Taeniopygia guttata (zebra finch)
Lineage: Eukaryota; Metazoa; Chordata; Aves; Passeriformes; Estrildidae
Source: RefSeq, a predicted model, not a curated record